Molecule: ribosomal RNA, 253 nt
Filed under: uncultured bacterium
Lineage: Bacteria
Description: partial 16S ribosomal RNA
Rfam family: Bacterial small subunit ribosomal RNA
Source: RNAcentral
UACGUAGGGUGCGAGCGUUAAUCGGAAUUACUGGGCGUAAAGCGUGCGCAGGCGGUUUUGUAAGCCAGAUGUGAAAUCCCCGGGCUUAACCUGGGAAUGGCAUUUGGGACUGCAAGGCUUGAGUGCGGCAGAGGAGACUGGAAUUCCUGGUGUAGCAGUGAAAUGCGUAGAUAUCAGGAGGAAUACCGAUGGCGAAGGCAGGCCUCUGGGCUGACACUGACGCUCAUGCACGAAAGCGUGGGGAGCAAACAGG